GUCCGGACUGACCUCGGCUAGAGAGAGGAGCCAGGGACAGGACAUGAGGACGGGGAACCCCACCCAGUUCCUCACUCCUCUGACUGGCUCCUCUGCUCCAUCCUCCACCCCACCAUGAUCCCUUGGGAGGAAUUGCACGUUUAAGAAUCUCUCCUAGGGACUUCCCUGGUGGCGCAGUGGUUAAGAAUCUGCCUGCCAAUGCAGGGGAGACGGGUUUGAUCCCUGGUCCAGGAAGAUCCCACAUGCCGCGGGGCAACUAAGCCCAUACACCGCAACUACUGAGCCUGCGUGCCGCAACUACUGAAGCCCACACGCCUAGAACCCGUGCUCUGCAACGAGAGAAAGCCACCGCAAUGAGAAGCCCGAGCAGCGCAAAGAAGAGCAGCCCCCGCCCACUGCAACUAGAGAAAGCCCUCGCGCAGCAAUGAAGACCCAACGCAGACAAAAAAAGAAUCGCUCCUAAAAAGUGCUU
Kogia breviceps (pygmy sperm whale) is the source of this 472-nucleotide non-coding RNA. The record is from RefSeq and is a predicted model, not a curated record. Lineage: Eukaryota; Metazoa; Chordata; Mammalia; Artiodactyla; Physeteridae.